UGAUCCUCCACAACAGAUGGGAGAUUCUACUACUGAAGUAACAGAUGAAAAUCGAGAUGCUGCUCAAAUAUCAAAAGCGAAAGCACUGGAUGCAAUAUCUGAAGGCAAGCUUGAUGAAGCCAUAAAUCAUUUAACUGAAGCUAUUUUGUUGAAUCCAACUUCUGCAAUAUUAUACGCAACAAGAGCUAAUGUCUUCAUUAAGCUGAAAAAGCCCAAUGCUGCAAUCCGUGAUGCUGAUGCUGCUUUAAAGGUCAACCCUGACUCAGCAAAAGGAUACAAAGUGAGGGGUAUGGCUCGAGCAAUGUUGGGCUUAUGGAAAGAGGCAGCUAGCGAUCUUCGUGUGGCAUCCAUGAUAGAUUUUGACGAAGAGAUUGCCGAGAUACUUAAAAAGGUUGAACCUAAUGCUCACAAAAUUGAAGAGCACUGCCGGAAGUAUCAACGGCUGCGAGAAGACAAGAGGUUGAGAAAAAUUGAGCGUGACAGUCAGCAGCGUCAGGCCGAGCCAAAGGCAGCUAAUGAAAAGAGUAAAAAGAAAGAACAGCAAUCUGAACAUGAAGCUUCUGAUCCUGACUCUGCUUCUGAUUUGAAUUAUGGAAAAAUUGUUGGUAUCCAUUCUGUGAGCGAACUAGAGACGAAGUUAAAUGCUGUUUCAAAAGGAUCACGUCUAGCUAUCCUUUACUUCACUGCAACAUGGUGUGGACCAUGUCGUUUUAUUUCUCCAUUUUAUACAAGCCUACCCGAAAAAUAUCCAAAAGUUGCAUUUUUGAAGGCUGAUAUCGAUGAGGCUAGAGACGUGGCUUCGAGAUGGAACGUCAGUAGUGUUCCAGCUUUCUUUUUCAUAAAAAAUGGCAAGGAGGUCGACAAGGUUGUAGGUGCUGACAAGAAUUCACUGGAAAAGAAGAUCGCCCAGCAUGCAGGCUAACUUUGGAAAUAUUAUGUUGUAUUGUGAAUUAAAUGCCUUUGCUUUGUUGAAAUAAAAGGCAUAUUUAUUUAUUUUAACUUUCUUUCAGUGGAGAAGUGUUUUCAAG
RNAcentral lists this unclassified non-coding RNA (1028 nucleotides) under Hevea brasiliensis (rubber tree). Lineage: Eukaryota; Viridiplantae; Streptophyta; Magnoliopsida; Malpighiales; Euphorbiaceae. The record is from RNAcentral.